This 254-nucleotide ribosomal RNA is filed under the name uncultured bacterium. Its description in RNAcentral is "partial 16S ribosomal RNA". It matches the Rfam family "Bacterial small subunit ribosomal RNA", at positions 524 to 776 of the family's 1533-position model. The record is from RNAcentral.
UACGGGGGGGAGCAAGCGUUGUUCGGAUUUACUGGGCGUAAAGAGCGCGCAGGCGGUCGUUCAAGUCGAGUGUGAAAGCCCCCGGCUCAACUGGGGAGGGUCACUCGAUACUGAUCGACUCGAAGGCAGAAGAGGGAAGCGGAAUUCCCGGUGUAGUGGUGAAAUGCGUAGAGAUCCGGAGGAACACCAGAGGCGAAGGCGGCCUGCUGGGCUGCACCUGACGCUGAGGCACGAAGGUCAGGGGAGCAAACGGG